UACGUAGGGGGCUAGCGUUGUCCGGAAUCAUUGGGCGUAAAGCGCGUGUAGGCGGUCCGGUAAGUCCGCUGUGAAAGUCGGGGGCUCAACCCUCGAAUGCCGGUGGAUACUGUCGGGCUUGAGUGCGGGAGAGGCGAGUGGAAUUCCUGGUGUAGCGGUGAAAUGCGCAGAUAUCAGGAGGAACACCUGUGGUGUAGACAGCUUACUGGACCAUUUCUGACGCUGAGACACGAAAGCGUGGGUAGCAAACAGG
This 253-nucleotide ribosomal RNA is filed under the name uncultured bacterium. RNAcentral describes it as "partial 16S ribosomal RNA". It matches the Rfam family "Bacterial small subunit ribosomal RNA", at positions 524 to 776 of the family's 1533-position model. The record is from RNAcentral.